RNAcentral lists this ribosomal RNA (468 nucleotides) under uncultured bacterium. RNAcentral's name for it is "partial 16S ribosomal RNA". It matches the Rfam family "Bacterial small subunit ribosomal RNA", at positions 28 to 507 of the family's 1533-position model. The record is from RNAcentral.
GACGAACGCUGGCGGCGUGCUUAACACAUGCAAGUCGAACGGAAAGGCCCUGCUUUUGUGGGGUGCUCGAGUGGCGAACGGGUGAGUAACACGUGAGUAACCUGCCCUUGACUUUGGGAUAACUUCAGGAAACUGGGGCUAAUACCGGAUAGGAGCUCCUGCUGCAUGGUGGGGGUUGGAUAGUUUCGGCGGUUGGGGAUGGACUCGCGGCUUAUCAGCUUGUUGGUGGGGUAGUGGCUUACCAAGGCUUUGACGGGUAGCCGGCCUGAGAGGGUGACCGGCCACAUUGGGACUGAGAUACGGCCCAGACUCCUUCGGGAGGCAGGAGGGGGGAAUAAUGCACAAUGGGCGGAAGCCUGAUGCAGCAACGCCGCGUGCGGGAUGACGGCCUUCGGGGUGGAAACCGCUUUCGCCUGUGACGAAGCGGGAGGGACGGGAAUGGGUAGAGAAGGAACGGCUAAAUACGGG